Molecule: long non-coding RNA, 255 nt
Filed under: Elaeis guineensis (African oil palm)
Lineage: Eukaryota; Viridiplantae; Streptophyta; Magnoliopsida; Arecales; Arecaceae
Description: long non-coding RNA (EGUI_LNC073082)
Source: RNAcentral
AUCUCCUUCUGAUAGUUAGCUUUCAAUUUUUCGAACUCCUUUUUUUUCUGCUGGGUUGUCAAAUUCAUCAAUUCGGCCUCCAGUAGAGUUAUUCUCUCUCUAUUUUUUCUCUCUCGCUCUUUGGUAGCUUGGAGGAGCUCGUCAGAGACCUCAGCCUGCGCACGAGCGGUCUGAGCCUGAUCCUCCAAAUCAUAGUUGAUCUGAGCAGAUUUGAUCAAUCCCUCCGAUAAAAUUGUAAUGUCGUUGAUCAUCUGC